CCGAGUUUACAACUCCCAAACCCCUGUGAACAUACCUAUUGUUGCUUCGGCGGUUCUGCCCCGGGCGCCCCGUGCGCCCCGGACCAAGGCGGCCGCCGGAGGAUAAUCAUAAACUCUUGUUUUCUCCAGUGGAAUCUUCUGAGUAAUACAAACAAAUAAAUCA
RNAcentral lists this unclassified non-coding RNA (163 nucleotides) under uncultured Nectriaceae. RNAcentral describes it as "sequence contains ITS1". Lineage: Eukaryota; Fungi; Ascomycota; Sordariomycetes; Hypocreales; Nectriaceae. The record is from RNAcentral.